AUUGAACGCUGGCGGAAUGCUUUACACAUGCCAGUCGAACGGCAGCACGGGGGGAGCCCUGGUGGCGAGUGGCGAACGGGUGAGUAAUACAUCGGAACGUGCCCGGUCGUGGGGGAUAACGUAGCGAAAGUUACGCUAAUACCGCAUACGAUCUGAGGAUGAAAGCGGGGGGCCUUCGGGCCUCGCGCGAUCGGAGCGGCCGAUGUCAGAUUAGGUAGUUGGUGGGGUAAAGGCCUACCAAGCCGACGAUCUGUAGCUGGUCUGAGAGGACGACCAGCCACACUGGGACUGAGACACGGCCCAGACUCCUACGGGAGGCAGCAGUGGGGAAUUUUGGACAAUGGGCGCAAGCCUGAUCCAGCCAUUCCGCGUGCAGGACGAAGGCCUUCGGGUUGUAAACUGCUUUUGUACGGAACGAAAAGGCUCUGGCUAAUACCUGGGGCUCAUGACGGUACCGUAAGAAUAAGCACCGGCUAACUACGUG
Molecule: ribosomal RNA, 484 nt
Filed under: uncultured bacterium
Lineage: Bacteria
Description: partial 16S ribosomal RNA
Rfam family: Bacterial small subunit ribosomal RNA
Source: RNAcentral